RNAcentral lists this ribosomal RNA (257 nucleotides) under uncultured bacterium. Its description in RNAcentral is "partial 16S ribosomal RNA". It matches the Rfam family "Bacterial small subunit ribosomal RNA", at positions 524 to 776 of the family's 1533-position model. The record is from RNAcentral.
UACAGAGACCUCAAGCGUUAUCCGGAAUCAUUGGGCGUAAAGCGUACCGAUCGGUGGUUAUGCAAGUCAGAUGUGAAAUCUCCGAGCUCAACUCGGAAUCUGUCAUUUGAAACUGCACAACUAGAGGGGCAAAGAGGAAGCUAGAACGAACGGUGUAGUAGUGAAAUGCGUUGAUAUCGUUCGGAAUACCGAUAGCGAAGGCAGGCUUCUGGGUGCCACCUGACACUGCUAGGACGAAAGCGUGGGGAGCGAAUGGG